CUUGGUCAUUUAGAGGAAGUAAAAGUCGUAACAAGGUUUCCGUAGGUGAACCUGCGGAAGGAUCAUUAGUGAUUGCCAUCUUGGCUUAAACUAUAUCCAUCUACACCUGUGAACCGUUUGAUUGAAUCUUCUGAUUCAAUUUUACAAACAUUGUGUAAUGAACGUCAUUAGAUCAUAACAAAAAAAAACUUUUAACAACGGAUCUCUUGGCUCUCGCAUCGAUGAAGAACGCAGCGAAAUGCGAUAAGUAAUGUGAAUUGCAGAAUUCAGUGAAUCAUCGAAUCUUUGAACGCAACUUGCGCUCUCUGGUAUUCCGGAGAGCAUGCCUGUUUGAGUGUCAUGAAAUCUCAACCAUUAGGGUUUCUUAAUGGCUUGGAUUUGGAGGUUGCCAUUCUAAAUGGCUCCUCUUAAAGGAGUUAGCAAGUUUUACUAUUGCUAUCUGRCGUAAUAAGUUUCGCUGGAAUGGUAUUGUGAAGCGUGCUUCUAAUCGUCUUCGGACAAUUACUUUGACUCUGGCCUCAAAUCAGGUAGGACUACCCGCUGAACUUAAGCAUAUCAAUAAGCGGAGGA
RNAcentral lists this ribosomal RNA (570 nucleotides) under uncultured fungus. RNAcentral's name for it is "eukaryotic LSU rRNA". The stretch from base 187 to 340 matches the Rfam family "5.8S ribosomal RNA". The record is from RNAcentral. Lineage: Eukaryota; Fungi.